RNAcentral lists this ribosomal RNA (763 nucleotides) under Bacillus thuringiensis. Its description in RNAcentral is "bacterial SSU rRNA". It matches the Rfam family "Bacterial small subunit ribosomal RNA", at positions 48 to 790 of the family's 1533-position model. Lineage: Bacteria; Bacillati; Bacillota; Bacilli; Caryophanales; Bacillaceae. The record is from RNAcentral.
CUAAUACAUGCAGUCGAGCGAAUGGAUUAAGAGCUUGCUCUUAUGAAGUUAGGCGGCGGACGGGUGAGUAACACGUGGGUAACCUGCCCAUAAGACUGGGAUAACUCCGGGAAACCGGGGCUAAUACCGGAUAACAUUUUGAACCGCAUGGUUCGAAAUUGAAAGGCGGCUUCGGCUGUCACUUAUGGAUGGACCCGCGUCGCAUUAGCUAGUUGGUGAGGUAACGGCUCACCAAGGCAACGAUGCGUAGCCGACCUGAGAGGGUGAUCGGCCACACUGGGACUGAAACCCGGCCCAAACUCCUACGGGAGGCAGCAGUAGGGAAUCUUCCGCAAUGGACGAAAGUCUGACGGAGCAACGCCGCGUGAGUGAUGAAGGCUUUCGGGUCGUAAAACUCUGUUGUUAGGGAAGAACAAGUGCUAGUUGAAUAAGCUGGCACCUUGACGGUACCUAACCAGAAAGCCACGGCUAACUACGUGCCAGCAGCCGCGGGAAUACGUAGGUGGCAAGCGUUAUCCGGAAUUAUUGGGCGUAAAGCGCGCGCAGGUGGUUUCUUAAGUCUGAUGUGAAAGCCCACGGCUCAACCGUGGAGGGUCAUUGGAAACUGGGAGACUUGAGUGCAGAAGAGGAAAGUGGAAUUCCAUGUGUAGCGGUGAAAUGCGUAGAGAUAUGGAGGAACACCAGUGGCGAAGGCGACUUUCUGGUCUGUAACUGACACUGAGGCGCGAAAGCGUGAGGAGCAAACAUGAUUAGAUACCCCUGG